This 473-nucleotide ribosomal RNA is filed under the name uncultured bacterium. RNAcentral describes it as "bacterial SSU rRNA". It matches the Rfam family "Bacterial small subunit ribosomal RNA", at positions 335 to 803 of the family's 1533-position model. The record is from RNAcentral.
ACUCCUACGGGAGGCAGCAGUGGGGAAUAUUGGACAAUGGGCGAAAGCCUGAUCCAGCCAUGCCGCGUGUGUGAAGAAGGUCUUCGGAUUGUAAAGCACUUUAAGUUGGGAGGAAGGGCAGUUACCUAAUACGUAAUUGUUUUGACGUUACCGACAGAAUAAGCACCGGCUAACUCUGUGCCAGCAGCCGCGGUAAUACAGAGGGUGCAAGCGUUAAUCGGAAUUACUGGGCGUAAAGCGCGCGUAGGUGGUUUGUUAAGUUGGAUGUGAAAUCCCCCGGGCUCAACCUGGGAACUGCAUUCAAAACUGACUGACUAGAGUAUGGUAGAGGGUGGUGGAAUUUCCUGUGUAGCGGUGAAAUGCGUAGAUAUAGGAAGGAACACCAGUGGCGAAGGCGACCACCUGGACUAAUACUGACACUGAGGUGCGAAAGCGUGGGAGCAAACAGGAUUAGAUACCCUGGUAGCGACUGA